CAGGAUGGAAUAAGAUGCCAAAGAUAGGAGGAGAGUGGAAACAAGGGAGAGCCCAGCGAGACACUGUUUAAUGUUUGAAAUCAGUGCCAAGCUAAAUUAGAAACAUGAGUCUGUGUACCUGUAACUUACCUCAUCGGUAUAUCAUCUGUAACCUGAGAUCCCCUCACAGAGAAGUAAAAAUAGCAAGGCUCUUGGGCUGAGUGCAGGAGGGCCAGCGUGGGGAAGGAUAAAGGGACUAGGCAGAGAACGCCAAUCACGUGGUCUGAGCGAGAACUCCUCCUCACCCCUUGGGUGGUGGCAGGGGGAAUACAGCCAAGAGAGGUGACAUCAAGGGCGUUAUGACAUUUCCUCAAAACGAAGCAUCAUUGACGUCCUGCGCCUGCCUGCUCCUGCCCUGAUCAAGGGUUAUGGAAGCUUUAUGCACUAUAAAGAAUCAAGAGAGAAGCCCUGUGAGCUCUCCGUGGCUUCCCUAAGAGAACAGGGAAGAGCUCGACAGAGUGAAAACAGGAAGAGAUGGAGCCUUACAGACCUGGACUGGAAUGCUGGCUCUGCAUCACAAGCUCUCUAACACUCUGAGAGAUGAUUUAAAUAAAGUUCUGAGCUUCA
RNAcentral lists this long non-coding RNA (606 nucleotides) under Equus caballus (horse). Its description in RNAcentral is "lncRNA (ENSECAG00000046742.1)". Lineage: Eukaryota; Metazoa; Chordata; Mammalia; Perissodactyla; Equidae. The record is from RNAcentral.